UACAGGGGGUGCAAACGUUGCUCGGAAUUAUUGGGCGUAAAGCGCGCGUAGGCGGCUACCUAAGUCGGAUGUGAAAGCCCCUGGCUUAACCGGGGAAGUGCACCCGAAACUGGGUAGCUAGAGUGCAAAAGAGGGUCGCGGAAUUCCCAGUGUAGAGGUGAAAUUCGUAGAUAUUGGGAGGAACACCGGUGGCGAAGGCGGCGACCUGGGUUGACACUGACGCUGAGGCGCGAAAGCGUGGGGAGCGAACAGG
This 253-nucleotide ribosomal RNA is filed under the name uncultured bacterium. RNAcentral describes it as "partial 16S ribosomal RNA". It matches the Rfam family "Bacterial small subunit ribosomal RNA", at positions 524 to 776 of the family's 1533-position model. The record is from RNAcentral.